GGGUAUUACGGUACAGAGUCAAUGUGGAGGCUAUAUACAGGGUGUUACGGUACAGAGUCAAUGUGGAGGCUAUAUACAGGGUGUUACGGUACAGAGUCAAUGUGGAGGCUAUAUACAGGGUGUUACGGUACAGAGUCAAUGUGGAGGCUAUAUACAGGGUGUUACGGUACAGAGUCAAUGUGGAGGCUAUAUACAGGGUGUUACGGUACAGAGUCAAUGUGGAGGCUAUAUACAGGGUGUUACGGUACAGAGUCAAUGUGGAGGCUAUAUACAGGGUGUUACGGUACAGAGUCAGUGUGGAGGCUAUAUACAGGGUGUUACGGUACAGAGUCAAUGUGGAGGCUAUAUACAGGGUGUUACGGUACAGAGUCAAUGUGGAGGCUAUAUACAGGGUGUU
RNAcentral lists this long non-coding RNA (397 nucleotides) under Salmo salar (Atlantic salmon). RNAcentral describes it as "lncRNA (ENSSSAG00000107903.1)". The record is from RNAcentral. Lineage: Eukaryota; Metazoa; Chordata; Actinopteri; Salmoniformes; Salmonidae.